AUGAAUCCUCAGCAGGAACCCCUUCCUGUCUCGCGGAUUGAUUCUACAAUUCCACCUACACAUACUGUUCAAUCUUCUAUGGAGACGGACCUUUCUCUGGAUUUGCAGGCCCUCAACCUACAAGAUCCGAAAGUUGCCUCUGUCAAAGCUGUCCAAGAAACUAUGGAAGUAGGAGCAGAUGCGAAGUACAACAUACUCAUCAUUCUUGCAGCCACUGGAAUGGCCCCAGCUCGUGUUCUCAGUUUGCAAACCUUGCAGCAGGCUAUGGCCAGAGCUUGGAGAAGCAAUUAUCACGGAAUAUCACAGGUAUCUAGAUCAAUGUUCAUGGCGCAUUUCAGAACUUUAGAUGCUAUGAUGUUUGUUAUUACAAGGCAGCCUUGGAUUAUGGGUUCUGACAAUCUACUGCUUGAGUGGCUUGAUCCUGAGGAUGAAGCAAAAGAAAAGGGGAAAUAUUUUUCAACACUAUAUAUGUGA
Molecule: ribosomal RNA, 474 nt
Filed under: Triticum aestivum (bread wheat)
Lineage: Eukaryota; Viridiplantae; Streptophyta; Magnoliopsida; Poales; Poaceae
Description: partial small subunit ribosomal RNA
Source: RNAcentral